GCCUUCGUGGUGUAAUUGUCAACACACUCGGAGCGUAUUCGAGAGGUCCGUGGUUCGAGUCCCGGAGAGGGCA
Molecule: non-coding RNA, 73 nt
Organism: Stegodyphus mimosarum
Lineage: Eukaryota; Metazoa; Arthropoda; Arachnida; Araneae; Eresidae
Source: Rfam